GAAGGGUCUGCCGCGCGGCCGGCUUAGCAAUCUGGCCAGCGUGGCGAGCGAAAGAGAUGUACAUCCGGGUGGUGGCUUGCUGGUAGAUGGAAUAGAGAAGUCCCUGUUGUGGUAGGUGAGUAAGAAACGAGCACAUAGAGGAGAUGGCGUUGGAGGAGGCGAGCGGAGAAAAGAAGGAGAGAACAUCUACGAACGCGAACGCGGAGGGGGUGGCCGCUGGCCGACACGGCGGCCUGUACCGGUGGCGCGGAAGGGGUGGCACCGACGGGGGUGGGGCGGGGGAGUGCGGGGUGGUCGCUGGUCGCGACGUUUGGUUGUGGGUGGCCACGACGGCUACCGCCGCUCUUCAUUAUCUCUCGGCGCCGCCGGCUGCAACUCCGCAACGUUGGUGCCACUGUUCACUACCUCUAGGUAGUAAAAGAAAAGAACUUUCGUCGGGGUUAAAAAUGACGUCUGCGGGAACUAAAAACGAUCUUGGUCAUGUACUGCGACGCAACUGUUACCGCCGCUCGGCCUCUGCCCCUGCGGUCCCUACGAGGUUGGUACUACUGUCGCGCGACCUUGGGAGGACACAAACUCAACGUUGGUACUGCUCGUCUCCGUCGGUUCCGUUCACAGUCCGUUCGCCGUACGCUCGCACCCACUGCCCGCACCACCGCGCCACCUUUCGUUCGUGCCCUUCUGCUCCUGAUAGCGCCCGCCGCUCGUGUAUCUAGACCGUACACGCGAGCGACAGGAAAAAAAAGCACAAAGGACACGCACAAAAAAAAAGACGCACAAACUGAAAAUUUUGUUUCGUUAGUCUGCCACCCCUUGCCUACAUAGCCCGCCGACCCCGAACUGGCCGGCUUGUCAAGCCGUCCACGCGGCCGCGGAUAUUCGCGGGAAAAGGAAAGGGAAAAUAAAGAAAGAAGACAGGCGCCCACAAAAAAAGCCCAAACGACCAGUAAAAGACAUACAAAAAUAAAUCAAAAAGAAAUAAGAAAGAAAAGGGAAAUAAACAUAAGAAUUUAUUCGCCGGAAAAAAAAUUUCAAAUCAAUUGUUCGAGUACACACAGAUUAUUGGUCCCGAGGCGGAGGAGGAAGAGGAGGUUCUUUCUUUUAAUCCCAAGCACGGAGAGCGGCCGCGGCCGCGUCCAGGCGGAGCAGAGGCCACCGGGAUCCAGGUACCUCCGCGCCACCUAGGACCGUUCCCGGCCGCCCUCCCGAAGCAAAAAUCAGAAAAAAAGUUAGAACAAUUCCAAACACAGGAUGAGUCCUUCCGCUCUGCCGCCGCCGAGAGACUUCUACCUUAUUUCCAGAGGGGCGGAUCGGGAGCAAGGCCGCCACACAGAUCGUAGCAACCACCCGCACACCUCUACACAGAGGUCGUCUAGAUAGAAACCACCUAAACGAGCCUAGAGCAGCAACAAGUAGAUGCAAGCACACAGAAGCCAAACCUAGGAAGGCUAGAUGCAAUAAAAAGUAGCUGCCGCCAACGACAAGACCCCACGACCAGGACACCCCGGAAUCGUGCUGCUGAAGAGCUGACAGAUGAUGUUGUUCAACACGGGCCGAGGCCGCUACCUCCCCGCUACUGCCGCCGUGCGGAAACCGAGCGAAGCCACGAACAUCAGCAGCGAUCCACCAGAUGCUUAGACCUACAUUAAAAAUAAAGACCAUAAGCAACAUGACGGUACUAACUUCUACUUAUCUAACCUUCAAAAGGCGUUUUUUUAUUCGCCGGAAAAAUUUUU
RNAcentral lists this ribosomal RNA (1736 nucleotides) under Triticum aestivum (bread wheat). RNAcentral's name for it is "partial small subunit ribosomal RNA". Lineage: Eukaryota; Viridiplantae; Streptophyta; Magnoliopsida; Poales; Poaceae. The record is from RNAcentral.